GUCAGGAUAGCUCAGUUGGUAGAGCAGAGGACUGAAA
This 37-nucleotide transfer RNA is filed under the name Thamnochortus guthrieae. RNAcentral describes it as "partial tRNA-Phe". Lineage: Eukaryota; Viridiplantae; Streptophyta; Magnoliopsida; Poales; Restionaceae. The record is from RNAcentral. RNAcentral also lists the same sequence under 2 other names.